UGCCGGAAAGCGCUCGGCUGCCGCUCGCGACUUCCUUGCGCGCGCCGCUCACGUGUUUGAGCGAGGCGCGGUUCGGGAUCGUGUUCGGCGC
RNAcentral lists this transfer RNA (91 nucleotides) under Lentzea cavernae. RNAcentral's name for it is "tRNA-Gly". The record is from RNAcentral. Lineage: Bacteria; Bacillati; Actinomycetota; Actinomycetes; Pseudonocardiales; Pseudonocardiaceae.